RNAcentral lists this ribosomal RNA (482 nucleotides) under uncultured bacterium. RNAcentral's name for it is "bacterial SSU rRNA". It matches the Rfam family "Bacterial small subunit ribosomal RNA", at positions 26 to 518 of the family's 1533-position model. The record is from RNAcentral.
AGGACGAACGCUGGCGGCGUGCCUAACACAUGCAAGUCGAACGGGACGAGGGGGAGCUUGCUCCCCGAGUUAGUGGCGAACGGGUGAGUAACGCGUGAGCAACCUGCCUUUCAGAGGGGGACAACGGUUGGAAACGACCGCUAAUACCGCAUGAAGCAUUUGGAUCGCAUGGUCCGAAUGCCAAAGAUUUUAUCGCUGAAAGAUGGGCUCGCGUCUGAUUAGAUAGUUGGCGGGGUAACGGCCCACCAAGUCGACGAUCAGUAGCCGGACUGAGAGGUUGAACGGCCACAUUGGGACUGAGAUACGGCCCAGACUCCUACGGGAGGCAGCAGUGGGGAAUAUUGGGACCAAUGGGGGAAACCCUGACCCAGCAACGCCGCGUGAAGGAAGAAGGCUUUCGGGUUGUAAACUUCUUUACCAGGGACGAAGGACGUGACGGUACCUGGAGAAAAAGCCACGGCUAACUACGUGCCAGCAGCCGC